UACGUAGGGUGCGAGCGUUAAUCGGAAUUACUGGGCGUAAGGCGUGCGCAGGCGGUUUUGUAAGCCAGGUGUGAAAUCCCCGGGCUCAACCUGGGAAUGGCAUUUGGGACUGCAAGGCUGGAGUGCGGCAGAGGAGACUGGAAUUCCUGGUGUAGCAGUGAAAUGCGUAGAUAUCAAGAGGAAUACCGAUGGCGAAGGCAGGUCUCUGGGCUGACACUGACGCUCAUGCACGAAAGCGUGGGGAGCAAACAGG
This 253-nucleotide ribosomal RNA is filed under the name uncultured bacterium. Its description in RNAcentral is "partial 16S ribosomal RNA". It matches the Rfam family "Bacterial small subunit ribosomal RNA", at positions 524 to 776 of the family's 1533-position model. The record is from RNAcentral.